RNAcentral lists this ribosomal RNA (236 nucleotides) under uncultured bacterium. RNAcentral describes it as "partial 16S ribosomal RNA". It matches the Rfam family "Bacterial small subunit ribosomal RNA", at positions 1256 to 1500 of the family's 1533-position model. The record is from RNAcentral.
AGCAAUGGGAUGCGAAUCUCGAAAGCCUGUCUCAGUUCGGAUUGGAGGCUGAAACCCGCCUCCAUGAAGUUGGAUUCGCUAGUAAUCGCGCAUCAGCCAUGGCGCGGUGAAUACGUUCCCGGGCCUUGUACACACCGCCCGUCAAGCCAUGGGAGCCGGGGGUGCCUGAAGUUCGUGACCGCAGGGAGCGACCUAGGGCAAAACUGGUGACUGGGGCUAAGUCGUAACAAGGUAUC